UUUCAGUUUAGAACUUCCUCAUUUACACACCCGCCUCACAAAAAGACAGGGGACCACAUGAGUCAGAAAGCAGCUUGCCUUCAGAGAAGCUUCUUUCAACAAGGACACUGAAACACACCUAAAAUCUAGCUUCCUUUGAUUUUUUUUGUUUUGUUUUUAAUCUUUUAAAAGUCACAGGAUAUAAAAUCAACACACAAAAAUCUAUUGCAUUUCAAUACACCAAUAAUGAAGCAGCAGAAAGAGAAAUCAAGGAAUCGAUCCCAUUUAUAAAUGAACCAAAAACCAUAAGAUACCUAGGAAUAAGCCUAACCAAAGAGGUGAAAUAUCUAUGCACUGAAAACUAUAGAAAGCUUAUGAAUGGAAUUGAAGAAGACACAGAAAAAUGGAAAAACAUUCUAUUCUCAUGGGUUUGGAAAAACAAAUAUUGUUGAAAUGUUGAUCCGACCCAAAGCAAUCUACAUAUUCAAUGCAAUCCCUACCAAAGAACACCAGCAUUCUUCACAGAGCUAGAACAAACAAUCCUAAAAUUUGUAUGGAACCAGAAAAGACCCCAAAUAGCUAAAGUAAUGUUGAAAAAGAAAACCAAAGUGGGAGGCAUCACAAUUCCAGACUUCAAUCUAUAUUACAAAGCUGUAAUCAUCAAGGCAGUAUGGUACUGACACAGAAACAGACGCAUAGAAUAGAUCAAGGGAACAGAAGAGAAAACCCAGAAACGGACCCACAUACAUAUGGCUAACUAAUCUUUGACAAAGCAAGAAAGAAUACCCAAUGGAAAAGAGGCAGUCUCUUUAGCAAAUGGUGUUGGGUAAACUGGACAGUGACAUGCAGAAGAAUGAAUCUGGAGCACUUUCUUACACCAUACAUAAAAAUAAACUCAAAAUGGAUGAAAUACCUAAAUGUAAGAGGGGAAGCCAUCAAAAUCCUAGAGAAGAAAAUAGGCAACAACUUCUUUGAUCUCAGCCAUAGCAACUUCUUACUUGACGUAUCUUCAGAGGAAAGAGAAACUAAAGCAAAAAUGAACUAUGGGACUUCAUCAAGAUUAAAAGCUUCUGCACAGCAAACAAUCAGCACAAUUAAAAGGCAACCGACGAAAUGGGAGAAGAUAUUUGCAAAUGACAUAUGUGAUAAAGGGUUAGUAUCCAAAAUCUAUAAAGGACUUGUCAAACUCAACACCCAAAAAACAAAUAAUCCAGCGAAGAAAUGGGCAAAAGACAUAAAUAGACAUGUUUCCAAAGAAGACAUCCGGAUGGCUAAUGGACACAUGAAAAGAUGCUCAACAUCACUCAUCAUCAGGGAAAUACUAGUCAAAACCACCAUGAGAUACCACCUCAUAUCUGUCAGAAUGGCUAAAAUGAACAGCGUAUGUUGGUGAGCAUGUGGAGAAAGCGGAACCCUUUUGCACAGCUGGUGGAAGUGCAAGCUGGUGCAGCCACUCUGGAAAACAAUAUGGAGGUUCCUCAAAAAAUUAAAAAUAGAACUACCCUAUGACCCAGCAAUUGCAUUACUGGGUAUUUAUCUGAAGGAUACAAAACUGCUGAUUUGAAGGAGAACAUGCACCCCAACGUUUAUAGCAGUGCUAUCAACAUUAGCCAAAUUAUGUAAAGAGCCCAAAUGUCCAUCGACUGAUGAAUGGAUAAAGAAGUGGUAUAUAUACACAAUGGAAUAUUACUUGGCAAUCAAAAAGAAUGAAAUCUUAACAUUUGCAACAACGUGGAUGAAAUUAGGAUUGACGAUGCUAAGUGAAGUAAGUUAGGCAGAGAAAAACAAAUAUCAUAUUAUUUCACUCACAAGUGGAAUUUAAGAAACAAAACAGAUGAACAUAGGAGAAGGGAAGGAAAAAUAAGAUAAAAACAGAGAAGGAGACAAACCAUAAGAGACUCUUAAAUACAGAGAACAAGCUAAGGGUUGCUGGAGGUGUUGGGGGGGGAUGGGCUAAAUGAGUGAUGGGCAUGAAGGAGGGCACUUGUUGGGAUGAGCACUGGGUGUUCUGUGUAAGUGAUAAAUCACCAAAUUCUAUCCCCGAAAUCAUUAUUACACUAUAUGUUAACUAACUUGGAUUUAAAUAAAUAAAUAAAUAUUUAGGAAAAAAUGUAAUCCUUUCCCUUUUUAUUGUGAUCACGAAACUGAAGGAAACCACAAUACGUACCCCAAAAUAUUAAUUAACUUAAUUGAAUUACUACUGUCAGGGACCUCACAAAGCAAUGAGAACAUAAGCAAGAAGUCACUGUGACUUCUCCUUGCAUGCUGCAACACUGUUAUUGGGAAAUAAGAAAACUGGGUAAGUAACAGAAACAGUGUAAUGAGGUUUCUGUUGGGGAAGUAACAACUUUGGGAACACAAGCAUGUCGAGAAACUCAGAAAGUAUCUCCACGAAAGGCCAUGAUUAAAUGAAGACUAAGGAUGAGUUGACAAAACUCCUCUGUGGUUGCAGCUCUCUACACAUAAACCACACCCCCAGUUGAUCCACUCCUUCAGUCUCUCUCCAUCGUCUACGCCAGAAUUCAGGUCUAUGGAACCCCAGCUGCUGACGCGACUAUAAUCCCAAUUACUCCUAGACGGCUGCGCCCUGAAUGCUUCUCAAGUUGCUAAAAAAGCAAUGCAGCAGUCCCCCUGUAUCCACAGGGAACACGUUCUAAGAUCCCCAGUGGAUGCCUGCAACUGCAGAUAGUACUGGGCGCACACACACACACACACACCCCUACGACAGAGGUUAACUUAUAAAGUAUGCACAGCAAGAGAUAAGCAAUAACAAUAAGAAAAGAGAACAACUGGAACAACACGCUGUAAUAAAAGUUACGCUGAUGCGGUCUCUCUUUCAAUUGAUCUGCUUUUCUUAUACUCACCCUUCCUCAUGCGAUGGUUGAGACGAUAAAAUGCCUAUGUGAUGAGAUGAACUGAGGUGAAUGAUGUAGGCAGGCAGGGAGAUGUAGUGUUAGGCUACUGCUGACCUUCCGAUGUUAUGUCAGGACAAUCGUCUACUUCCAGACCACAGUUUACCAAGGGUCUCUGAAACCACAGAAUAAAGAGACCGUGUGUAAGUGGGCAACUCCUGCUAUCAUUUCCAGUGGACGUGAACACCACGGAGCUCUGGCUUGACUACUGCACAUUCUGGAACGCUUCCACCAGUCCGGAGGUAUCCAGUGGCCGGAAAUGUAUUUAGGAAGUAUCAGCAAUUGACUUAAACAGCUCACUGACUUCCUGCUGGGAGGAGCAGAAGACGGACGAUGAACUUAACGUCACUUUGAAUUCCCCACGCUGGUAGCAGAACUAUUGCUGGUAUUUUAUUUUUAUUUCCAUAGAGCUAUAAUGGAAGAACAACACAUUUUAACAUUUACUAUGAGCUUCACAUGCUGGCAAAGACUUUCAUGUUAUCUCAUUUGAACCUUGUCCCUAGGCAGUGAAACUGCUCUUCUUAUACUUACUGUUCAUAUGAAAACAUUCUGCUCAAGGGGCUUGGUCAUGGAUCAAGGUCACAGCCGGUUGAGAAAUGGAAUCCAUGCUUUAGAUAUAUGCCUCGGAACCUAGUUUGUGAAAGAACACCAGGUUAGGGCCACGCUUUGACUCAAAUUUCAUCUGUGAGUCAGUCACACACAGUUUAUCAACGUAAAGUCUUAGGGUUUUUGCUUUGUUCUGUUUUUUACUCUCCAGACAUCUGGAGAAAUUUACCCGUCUUCGUCAAAAAGUUCACAGGAAGAGUCUUAUAAUAAUGAAGGCAUGUCCACAGACCAGUCUCGAACAUGUGCUUUAUUUGAGACACAUUGCUAGUCUCUGAGGAUACAGACGUGAACUAGAUGGGAGUUCGUGCCUCUUGGAAACCCUGAGCUAUAACAGAUUGGAUGGCAAAAAGCAUCAUAUUCAGGGUGAAAUAAAGUUACUACUCACUGGAAAAAAAGAUUUAAUCCCUGAAUGAAAUGUAUUUGUAUGCAGCUAAUAACAUAGCCUUAAAGGAUAUAUAAUAAAAAUUUCAUGGAAUUACAAGAAGAAAUUGACAGAUACACCAACAAAGGAGGAGAAAUGGAAUAAGGGAAAAUUGCAGUGUCAAUUCCUAUUUGUUCUUUUGGGGAUCCAUCAGUCCCGUGUAGCUAACACUAUUAAGGAUUUUUAACAUUUUGUUUUUUAAAACUCAAUAGUAUAGAAACAGCCUUGACAUUGGGUGCUGAAUGCAUAAAGCGUUCAAGAAAUUAACUCUUUGUGAUUUAAUCUGGGAUAAAAACAGAAUUUUAAAGCCAAGAAAAGGUAAAAUAAAGAGUGCUAUUGGUUUAUAGGUAUAUUUAUUUAGCACCCUGUAAUUUAAGACAUAAACACCAAGAAUUAAAGUGCAAAAAGCACUUUUCAGUGUUUCUAAGUUUUUAACAUACAGAGGACAAAGUAAAGAGUUUCAGCACUUUUCAAAUUUUCCUAUAUAACUGUAAUGGACAAUGAGAGAAUUUUGAAUGUGUUAACACUUUUUAAAGGCCAGUCGCAGGCCAGUUUGUAAUUUUUCUCAUUGGUUAUCAAAAUAAUUUAAUAAAUGGAAGAGCGCAAAAAGAAUUUAUAUAUCUUAUCCCAUUGUGCAAUACGUGUUCCAUGAGGUUAAAUUUUUCCCAUAAAUACAAUGUCCAUGUGUGAGCCAUACAUAAUCCCAGUAGAAAGAAAAGAAAGCUCAAAAUAUACCAGACGCUAUAUUCAGUGUUGUCUGUACAUUUCCAAGUGUGAUGGGAUGAUUCUCUGCUAAGGCCUAUCUGAAGGUCAGAAGGGCUUUUUAUCUUUACAGGAAAUUCUAUUCUAAAAGGAAAUUCUACUUACAGGAAGUAAGUACAUGUGUUAUCUUUCUGUCACAUUGCUUUUGGGCCUCUCUUCUCUACAGCCUUCUCUCUUUGUGGGUGGUAGCAUGGUAAUAAGGAGAAGCACGGACUUUGGGGUUUGACUUCCCAAUUUCGAGCUUAACUCAUUCAAUGUCUCUGAUUCCAGCUUACUUUUGUGAAACUGACCAAAAAUCCCAGCUCAGGGAAGUCCCAGUUUAUGCCUGUUGUGCUACAGAACCCUCUGGUCAUUUUCACUUCUUAAAUGAAGAUGAUUAAGAUGAUAUUUAGAUGACAAACUAUAUGAUCACCAUACUUCUUCAUACAGUGGGAGUGACAGAGCUAGUCUUGUAGGCUAAUUAUGCAGAUUACAUGAAAGAGUUGACCUAAAAUACCUCACAGGUUUCCAGGAAGAGAAUACAAUAAAUGUUAGGUACUAAUAUGCACCCAGGCUCCCAAGUCUGCUGGAAUAGGGUUCUUCCUUAUCCUUCAGCUUUAAUCCUAUGCAGUCUACCCCUCUCAGAGGGCGAAGUAUUCAACAAACAGAAUGAUCCAAAAACAUUUUUUACCAGUUCUUCCAGGGUUUCAAACUGAACCAUGGCAGCUUGAGUCACAGAAGGUCUAAGUGGCUCCCUGCAGGUUCCCACUAACCUAGGGCCUCCCCCCCCACCAGUGCCAGCCAGCUCCAGUGACCAGGAUCUGGGCAGGGUCCCGGAAACCCAGGCGUCAUUUCAUCCAGGCACCUGCUGUCUCCAAUGGCCCCAAAGCCACUCCUGUGACUCCCCUGCAGGCUCCCAGGAAUCAUGAAACCAGCUCAUCCAGCACCUGCCUGAUCCAGAGGUCCCAGACACCAUCCACGGCUCCAGGCAGCUGCCAAGGCAAGGUUCCCUGCAGGCUCCCAAGAAUCUAGGCCUUCAUUGCAUCCAGGAAUCUGGCAGCCCCAGCAGCCCCAUGUGGCUCCAGCAGCCCCACGUGGAAUCCUUGACUCAGGCAGGGAAGCACCCGUGGCCCUAGGCAGCUCCCAUGACACCAGGUUCUACGACGCUCCCAUGAGAACAGACCCUGGUUCACUCUGGAACCUUCCAGUUCCAGUGACCCCAGGCAGGCUACACGCUCUAGGCAGCUUCACUGGCCCGGCCUCACAGAGGGCCCCUGGGAAAUGAGGCUCCUG
Molecule: long non-coding RNA, 5952 nt
Organism: Panthera uncia (snow leopard)
Lineage: Eukaryota; Metazoa; Chordata; Mammalia; Carnivora; Felidae
Exons: 3
Source: RefSeq, a predicted model, not a curated record